CCGGAGAUGGCAGAGUGGCCAAUUGCACCAGACUGUAAAUCUGGCGGGUUUUCCCUUCGGAGGUUCAAAUCCUCCUCUCCGGA
RNAcentral lists this transfer RNA (83 nucleotides) under Candidatus Daviesbacteria bacterium RIFCSPHIGHO2_01_FULL_36_37. Its description in RNAcentral is "tRNA-Tyr". It matches the Rfam family "tRNA". Rfam says of the family: Transfer RNA (tRNA) molecules are approximately 80 nucleotides in length. Their secondary structure includes four short double-helical elements and three loops (D, anti-codon, and T loops). Further hydrogen bonds mediate the characteristic L-shaped molecular structure. tRNAs have two regions of fundamental functional importance: the anti-codon, which is responsible for specific mRNA codon recognition, and the 3' end, to which the tRNAs corresponding amino acid is attached (by aminoacyl-tRNA synthetases). tRNAs cope with the degeneracy of the genetic code in two manners: having more than one tRNA (with a specific anti-codon) for a particular amino acid; and 'wobble' base-pairing, i.e. permitting non-standard base-pairing at the 3rd anti-codon position. The record is from RNAcentral. Lineage: Bacteria; Candidatus Daviesiibacteriota. RNAcentral also lists the same sequence under 1 other name.